AACUUUUAGCAACGGAUCACUUGGCUCUCGCAUCGAUGUAGAACGCAGCGAAAUGCGAUACGGAAUGUGAAUUGCAGAAUUCAGUGAAUCAUCGAAUCUUUGAACGCACCUUGCGCCCCUUGGCAUUCUGAGGGGCACACCCGUUUGAGUGUCGUGAAAUUCUCAAAACCUUUUCUUUUGCUGGAAAGGAUUUUGGACUUGGAGGCCUUGUGCUGGUUUCACCUCGAAGCGAGCUCCUCCCAAAUGGAUUAGUGGGGUCUGCUUUGCCGAUCCUUGACGUGAUAAGAUGCUUCUACGUCUCGGGUUUUGGCACUGUGCCUCUGCUUCUAACCGUCUCAUUGACAACGAUGGUGUUCCGGUCACCGCCGAUUCGUCGGUGGGAGGCUUGACCCACAAAACGACCUUGACCUCAAAUCGGGUGAGACUACCCGCUGAACUUAAGCAUAUCAAUAAGCGGAGGCU
Molecule: unclassified non-coding RNA, 462 nt
Filed under: uncultured Russula
Lineage: Eukaryota; Fungi; Basidiomycota; Agaricomycetes; Russulales; Russulaceae
Description: sequence contains ITS2
Rfam family: 5.8S ribosomal RNA (bases 1-154)
Source: RNAcentral